Molecule: ribosomal RNA, 459 nt
Filed under: uncultured bacterium
Lineage: Bacteria
Description: partial 16S ribosomal RNA
Rfam family: Bacterial small subunit ribosomal RNA
Source: RNAcentral
CCUACGGGUGGCAGCAGUGAGGAAUAUUGGUCAAUGGGCGUAAGCCUGAACCAGCCAAGUCGCGUGAGGGAUGACGGUUCUAUGGAUCGUAAACCUCUUUUAUCAGGGAAUAAAGUGUGGGACGUUCCCUGUUUUGUAUGUACCUUAUGAAUAAGGAUCGGCUAAAUCCGUGCCAGCACCCGCGGUAAUACGGGGGAUCCGAGCGUUAUCCGGAUUUAUUGGGUUUAAAGGGUCCGUAGGCGGGCUUUUAAGUCAGCGGUAAAAGCCCGGGGCUCAACCCCGGCGAGCCGUUGAAACUGGCUGUCUUGAGAGGGCGAGAGGUAUGCGGAAUGCGCAGUGUAGCGGUGAAAUGCUUAGAUAUUGCGCAGAACUCCGAUUGCGAAGGCAGCAUACCGGCGGCGAUCUGACGCUGAGGCACGAAAGCGUGGGUAUCGAACAGGAUUAGAUACCCUAGUAGUC